UAUAUAGAACAGGUUUAUUGUAAUGAAAAACGCGAUAACACAAACUGCUAGUGUUCAGGACUAAAUAUUUAUUGCUUCAUUCUUGAGCCGUCAAGGUUACACAAUAUAAGAAAAGGAAAUCUCGGGAAUGGGAUUCGAGCUUAAAGACAAAGUAAGAUAAAGAAGUCAAAAACGAGUGCAUCAUCAACCUGAUUUACUAAAAAAAAAGAAUGGCGACGAUUCUGAUUUUACUGUUAGUUCGUGCAAUAAUGACCAAUGGUGAACAGUUCAUCUGGACAUCUCCUAGUGAUAAUGGCUGUGUGAAUGGCAAGGAAGGUGAAGAUAUCUCGUUACUAUGGGAAUAUCAAGCAGACUCGUCGUCAAGGUUAAUUCUGAUUAAAACAGAGGAUGUAGUAAUUGGCCAAUGGAUCGAGAAACAUAACAACUUCACAACAUAUUCUGUUUUUCAAGGAAGAGUCACUUUCAAAAGAACGGUCAUCAAACAAGAUCAUCCAGGAAUUUACGGAGAAAAGAUUGAGUUGAAUUUGAUGAAGGCACAUAGAAAUGAUUUAAAUGUACCGUACACCUGUCAACUCAUCCUUAAAGACGCAAAAGUUAAACAGAAGGACAUCAGAGUAGAUUGUCCAGAUUCGUCAGAUGUAGGAACAGCUCGACCUAACAGCCAUUUGUUUCGUAUGCUUCCUGCCAUUGUAAGUGUUGUGGUGUUCCUCCUCGUUCUGUUUGGCGUUGCCGUCGCGUGCUUCUUGAGGCGACGCAGAAGUGACGUGUCUAGAUUCAUGAGACUUGAUCAGGAAAAUGUGGAGAUGAUGUACAACAACCAAAGCAACAAUGAGGGGCAAGAAGGGUGACCAAAGUGUGAGGUUGAUUUAAUUGAUUGCUUUCAAACAUCAUGAAAACUAACAUCGCUUAAUUAUUUUUAUGUUAAAUUUUUGUAUGAUAAUAAUAAUGACUUUAUUUUCUGUUAUAUACUACUCAAAAUAUAGAGCAACUAUAAGGUAACAAUAUUUAAAAGUGUAUACUUUAUCUAACAUACUGAUUUUUUUAAACUGGACAUAUUUUUUAUUUAUAUAACUAAAUAAUUAUACUGUAUUGAUUUUUUUUAACUGGACAUAUUUUUUAUUUAGUUUUAUUGACUGUUAAAUCGAGGAACGUAUUUUUUUAAUCAAAUGGUUUUCCAUUAGUUUUCUUUUUGUCCAUACUAAACUUAAGCUGUCUGUCUACAGUUAGCUUCGCCCGAGAACAGACACUAAGCUAGUUGACCGACAUUUUAAGUACUAAAUCGACGAUUUUAGUCGAAAACACGAAGUAUACUUCGGGAACUUUGUUGAAUUGAAAGAAGUUUAUUUAGUCUUUGUGUGUAUGACAGAAGUAAAACGGAGUAUAACCGCAUUACAAAACAAUAUACUAAUUUUUGGAUAUGGCGGCCAUUUAGGACAGAGAUCUAUUCUCGAGGAAUGAAGUAGAUGGAUAUCUGUGUACAGAAUGCUUUUUUGUCAUGUCAUUGACUUUCAUUUUCUUUGUUGGUGUUGUGCAGGGUUAAAUAUGUGUCUAUUUACAGACAAAGGCCCAUUUUCAACGUUACAAACCCCAUCGAUGGUUGCGUACUCUAUCCCUUAAGUUUCGAUUCCCCGGUUGUACGUGACAAGUAGUAGAGUCGCCUGUCCAACCUCAUGGGUUUUCUCCGGGUCCGUCGGUUUCCUCCCACUGCUAAAGGACAUUGCUGAAAAUCAGUAACUGUUUUUCUAAUUAAUUGGCAGUACUCCAAGUCUUGUAGGUAAAGAUUAUUGAAAAACCCAAGGACCCGGUCCCUUAUCACAACCAUCAAUAUUUAAAAUCACAGUUACAUAGCUAUGAUCACUUAGACCAGUGUGAGAUAUGAAAUGAAAUGAAAUGGGGUUUAACGUCCUACUGUUAUGCUCCUAAACUGGACUAAUGAAGACGGGCAUACGCCAUGUAGUGUGCUAUGAGGACAAUUUUGCCCGGGCAGCGGCGCUACGGCCUACUCUUAUAUCGAAUUCCAACUGCCAAGGGAUCUUUUACGUACACGCUAAUAUGUACACGGGACCUCGGUUUUUCGUCCCAUCCGAACGACUAGACAGCUGCCCUUGUCCAGUGUGAGAUGUAAAUGUAUUAUGUACAAUAAGAUAAUAAACACUUACUCAGAAAUACAAACUCAAUCCGCGAUUGUUUGAGGUCACCUUGAACAAACUGGCGUCUGGUAAAUACUUGUUUCUCGGGAUUCUUCCUCCUCCAAAUAUCAAACAGAUUAUUAUCACAAGUAAAAGUUGACAGCAAUUUGUUUGUCAGAUUGAAAGCAGACAUGUUACUAGACCGGCCAAGAUGCAGUUCCAUCACAUCAUUGAAGUCUUCACACACUAAAACAUUUUCAGAUGAUAAUAUCAUGGUUAAAACUUUGUCAUAAAACGAUUUCCUGUCCUGUUGAUUGUUUGGUGAAUAAACACACAAUAAAUCAAAUACUACGCCAUUUUCAUUUAUCUGGCGAGACGACCGCCAUCAUCACUGGAAACAAACUGACAUUUUGGUACAAAAUGUUUAGAAAUAAAUAUUGCACGUCCUUUAAAGCCGUUAUUCGAAAUCGAAUAAAAAACGUCGCCAUCCCAAAAUGUUUAUAAGUAUCAAUAAACACGUAAUCCCAAUGUGUCUCUUGUACACAAAUACGCCAGUUCGCAACAAAAUUUUGAUAUUUCGAAAAACUUCUGAGACCAUUGACGUUUAUAGUUGCUAUCUUUACCAUUGAGAUCACUAAUAGUAAAUUAGAAAACGGGAACAUUUUUACGCGACGAUUUUGAACGUGUACCUUUCAUCACUGAUUCUGAUAUUAUAUCAACAAAAACAGAAAUGAAAUGAAAUGGGGUUUAACGUCCUACUGUCCUGCUCCGAACUGGGCUAAUGAAGCCGGGCAUACGCCAUACAGUGUGCUAUGAGGGAAAUUUUGCCCGGACAGCGGCACUACGGCCUACUCUUAUAUCGAAUUGGAUGGCCGAAUGGUAAGCACGUGCGCGCUGUAUCAUAAGGCCUGUCAUUGAGUCAACUGGCGUGGUUUCGAAUUCCCGGUUGUACCUGACUGCUAAAGACCCCUACGCGCAAGCGAAUUAUUGAAAUAAAAUUAAAACCAUAUGUUAGUCCCGAAAUGACCUAGUUUGUGUCGAGUGAACGUUAAACCCCAUCUCUCUCGCUCUCUUUGAAUAAACGGAACAAAACUGUAUAAAACUA
Molecule: long non-coding RNA, 3234 nt
Organism: Patella vulgata (common limpet)
Lineage: Eukaryota; Metazoa; Mollusca; Gastropoda; Patellidae
Exons: 8
Source: RefSeq, a predicted model, not a curated record